Molecule: long non-coding RNA, 1012 nt
Filed under: Schizosaccharomyces pombe (fission yeast)
Lineage: Eukaryota; Fungi; Ascomycota; Schizosaccharomycetes; Schizosaccharomycetales; Schizosaccharomycetaceae
Source: RNAcentral
GUUCAAACUUUGUCAAACCACAAAAUAAACAAAGUCCUUGAAAUCGAAUACGUAGUUUACAUUCUCGCAAGUUGUGGUCGGCCUUGCCACAUUUAUAACAAGUAGAUAAGCGUACGGGGCAUGCUUUCCCGGUAUGAGCACGAAUUUCUGUGUCUGGGUUACCAAGAGUGCAACUUAGACAUUCAUCUUUAUACACUCGAAAGAAUCGCUCGAGUUGUGCUGAAAUGUCAGUUGAGUCUACCCAUUGUUUUUUGACGGCUUGCACACGACUUUUAUACUCGGCGAAAUGAAUGGUACGAGAAUCAACAUCACCAUCACCAUCACCAUCACCAAUACCAAUACCAAUACCAACAAUACCACUCAUACCUCCAACACUACCAUGAACACGAUUCAUGUCAUGGUUGACGCCCUGUUGUACAUUGUUCAAAUGUUCAUCGUAUGUGCGUUUAUGACCACGACGAUGGCUGAGCGACAUGUCUUCCAAACCAUACUUUAGAUUCGUAUUAGCAUUGCCAAAGCUUUUCUUCCAUGUUGGCGAUACAGACGAAGGGAACAAAGUGAUUUCCGAUAAUUCCGACAAAGACACUGGCGUAGUACUAGUAGUGUUAGUGUUCAUAGCACUCAUACCACUGCUAUUCCCUGGCUGUGGUGGGGGGGAAGACGAAAACGAUGCAUUAUAACGCGAAUGUGUUGCAAUGGCUGGUUUCGGUGUUUCUGGCAAUGUCGGUUUCACUCCAUACAUCGUAGACACAGUUGAUUCUUCACCAAGUAACGAAUCUGAGCAUCUUGAGCAGUAAACACAGUUAGCAAACGAUGCACAACAUACACAUUCGCCAUCCAUUUCACUUGCGAGAAACGAUCGAACACACAUCGUAUUAUCAUUAAGAAAGUUUUUCAUCGAAUCCUCUACGUAGCUCGACCAUGUAGAAUCAUAUUUCUCGUAAAACAAUGCUGCAAUCGCAUACUUGCCAUCUCUUCCAGCUCGACCUGUCUCCUGUACAUAAUCCAUAGA